Molecule: ribosomal RNA, 273 nt
Filed under: uncultured bacterium
Lineage: Bacteria
Description: partial 16S ribosomal RNA
Rfam family: Bacterial small subunit ribosomal RNA
Source: RNAcentral
UACGUAGGGUCCGAGCGUUGUCCGGAAUUAUUGGGCGUAAAGGGCUCGUAGGCGGUUUGUCGCGUCGGGAGUGAAAACACCGGGCUUAACUCGGUGCUUGCUUUCGAUACGGGCAGACUUGAGGCAUGCAGGGGAGAACGGAAUUCCUGGUGUAGCGGUGAAAUGCGCAGAUAUCAGGAGGAACACCGGUGGCGAAGGCGGUUCUCUGGGCAUGUCCUGACGCUGAGGAGCGAAAGUGUGGGGAGCGAACAGGAUUAGAAACCCCCGUAGUCC